Molecule: long non-coding RNA, 2475 nt
Organism: Macaca mulatta (Rhesus monkey)
Lineage: Eukaryota; Metazoa; Chordata; Mammalia; Primates; Cercopithecidae
Source: Ensembl
GCUUUGGUUAGUACCAUUGCUGGAGAGAAUUAAACAAGUUUCCACGUUUUAGGCUUCUUGACAUUUUUUGAUGUUCCACGUAACUGCAACGGAAUAACUCGAUGAAACAAAUCAAGGCAGCUGUGCUCUGAUCCUUAGUUGCCUUCCAAGGAUAAGAUGACACAUUUGAUAAACACAUUUCCUUUAACGCCAAGUUCUCCAGGUCAGGCAGGCAUAUCAUAUAGAUGAAACUGAUCUGAGCCUUCAUCCUGAGGGAGAAGAGAGUUGGAGAUGAAGGUAAACCAGGAUCCCGGUUUUAACCCUGCAACACACCAGUCUCCUGAACUUGAGUAUUUAAAUGGAGAAAGCUCACCAAAGAAGAGAAAGGACAUGCUUCACUCAGGAUGAUGGGCUGUCCCUUUUCCUUUGGAACCAGCAUAACCUUCACCAUGUCAAUAUGGAUUGCAAAGAAAUGGAAACUUGGUGCUGUUCACCUUACAGCUCCUGAUGAUUUCUUACAGUGGGGGAAAGGGAGAUUGGACUUCAAGGUCAGAGUAGCUGAACCAAGUUAUUCCAAUGUAAGAAAAAAUGCUAACAUUGAAAGGAACAAUUUUACCCUGUAAAAAUCCUCUGCCUAGGGUACUAGAAAAAUCAGAAAAGGGAGCUGGUGGAGGAAAGAACUAGAAUAAACAAAGCAAGCUCAGAACAAUUCAUUCCUAUGUUUGUUUAUUGAAACAGAACCAGGAAGGACCAACGAAGGUCUGAAUUAAUGUAAUUUAUAAGAAGAAAGGCUCCCCUCCAAGGCAAUGAAAUGAUCUCUUUCCAAAUAUGUAACCAGGAGUGGCUCCCCAUAAACCCAGGGCAUGUCAGGGCAAAGAUGGUAUUCCAGAUCUUUACAGCCUCCCCAGUUUUUGCCUCAGAGAGAGUUCCUAAUUAACCAUUUAGGGAUUCAGAAUUGUUAAUCAAAGUUGCUCUGAUGAAAUUUUGAGGGUUGUUCUAUUUCUUGUCACAAGUUGAAUUGUUUAAAAGUACUGCCUCAGAGAUCUGAUUUUCCGCAUUAUGCCAGCAUUUUCUUACCUUAGGGCAGGCAAAGGGCUAGUCAGACUUUAAAAUUGGAACUUCUUCCAUUUUUUUCCCUCAGAGCAUUUGAAGUUUGUUUGUUUGGUCUGUUUGUUUUGUGUCUGUUACAGUUCUUUAUUUUGCUUUUCAAGUGCAAAGUUACUGUGCUGGUGAUGAUAGAAGGGAUACAUAAAGGAAGGAAAAAACUUGCUCAAGGAAGUUCACAGAGUGGAUACUCUAUAUCCAAUAAUAACAGUGAGGAAAGAAAGAAUGCAGUUGAAGAUAUGAGGGGCAAAGUAAUACAGAGAUUUUCACAGAUUUAGAAGAUUGCUGCCCAGAUCCUUCUGUUUCUCUCUUUUUGUUCCUAGUGAGAGUUAUUAAAAUAGCUAACAUCUACAUGCCCAUUCUGCACAGAAAGGGAUAUAUGAAGAAAGCAAGAAACCACUAGCCUAUGUGUAGGGUGAUAUGCCUUACAGCCAUGCUCAGUUACUAUUUUUGGUCAUGGGCCUAGAAAUAACCAUCUGGGCAAUCAGACUUCUGCAUUGACAUGCAAUGUUGGCUAAAUCCACAGGCAGCUGGCUGAGUAGUAUUUAAACUCAGUGCUGAGAUAGGAGUAGGCCCUGACAGGCAGUAGUUAGGGGACACUCAUCUAUUCUACCCAUGUCAACAGUAAUGAUACUGUAAUUCUUUCCAAAAUGUGGUCCUUUUUGCUAUGUUUUGACAAGCUGGCUGUUAUUCUAACUUUCUGUAUUAUUGGAAACACAUAGGCUAGACAUUGAUACACAUAUAUGCAUAUGCAUGUGUUUAUGUGGCUGUAUAUAGUUAUGGAAGAAUCCAUGAGAGUCAGUCUUCCAUAUUUAUUAAGUAUGUACACUAUGCAAAGCACUUUAUUGUGUGAUAUAGAAAAAUAUGGAAAAAUUGUAAGCAUACUAAGUCCAGGAGAGGUUGAUUCACCUAUGUUCCAGAACCUCACUUUGUGUUUCUAUUAAGUGACUUAUUGGGAUCAGGCAGUAUCCAAUAUCAUUUCUAGGUCUUUAAUUCUAUGAGUCCAUCAUUUUGGAUAAAAAUUAAAUAUACAGUUAAAAACACAUGGACUGGAUUAGUGGUUACAAGCAUAAGCUUUGUUGUCAGAUUCACUUAAAAUAUAAGUGCAGCUUCUGCCACUUAAAAGUUCUAUCACCCUGUGGCAUUUAUUAAAUUGGGCUCUAGUAUCUCCAACUAUAAAAUAGGAAAUUGUAAUUGUGAUCAAUCUCAUAAGGUUGUUUUAUAGAUUGAAUGUGAUAAAGCAUGUAAAGCAUUUUUCAGAAAUCGUGGUAAAGGACAAUUAUUACAAAAAUGUUAGCGCUUUUAUGCUAUCAUAAUGGUAGUUAUGGAAGCAUUGAAAACUGGGAAAAGUAAGUCAGCAGAACUCAAUAAACUUGAUUCCUUUGCACUGCC